UUUCAAACUAAAUUUUAUUUUUGAAAUAAUUAUAAAAUUUUUUACUCUUAGGUUGGUAGAUGGCGAAGCUGGUUAUGGAAUACUAUAGAAUAUCCAUGGACCAGUAAUUUGGCUCAAUGUUUUGCUCUGUUUUCUCUGAGUAUGGUUUUAAUCUCGACAGUUACGUUUAUCAUUUCAACAUUGGAAGAAUUACAGGAGAACGAGGUUGGUGUGAUAGAAUAUCCUGAGAUAGCGAGGAUUAUAGAUUGGAUUGAUAACUUUGUAGUGGUUUUCUUCUCAUUGGAAUAUAUCGUCAGACUACUCUGCAGCCCCAAGAAGAUUCAGUUUAUAGGAGAGCAAUGAACAUGAUUGAUCUUGUGGCGAUUAUACCCUUCUAUCUUAACAUUCUUCUAGAGGGUUUAGAGGACUUUGAGAUUAUAGGAAAAACUGGAAAAAUCAUCAGACUUAUUCGAGUUAUGAGAAUUCUCAGG
This is a long non-coding RNA of Eurytemora carolleeae, 470 nucleotides long. RefSeq lists it as uncharacterized. The transcript has 6 exons. The record is from RefSeq and is a predicted model, not a curated record. Lineage: Eukaryota; Metazoa; Arthropoda; Copepoda; Calanoida; Temoridae.